This 431-nucleotide long non-coding RNA is filed under the name Gossypium raimondii (Peruvian cotton). Its description in RNAcentral is "long non-coding RNA (GRAI_LNC000013)". The record is from RNAcentral. Lineage: Eukaryota; Viridiplantae; Streptophyta; Magnoliopsida; Malvales; Malvaceae.
AAUAUUGGAAAUUUAAAAAAUAUUAAAAAUAUAAAUUCAAAUAAACAACAUAAUUAAUCUUUAGGCUCGAAUUAAGAUACAUACAAAAACCCAUAUCCGAGUUAAUUUAGUACCUUCAGUCAAAGCAUAUCAAAUGGUUCGAGCGAUCAGCACCAGCUUCAAGCCUUUAAACGACAAUAGGAGAUGGUCUGAUGAGUGCACUGAGCUGCUUUCGGCAGUCAAGAACCCUCACUUCACAAUAUCAAGCAAACGACAAUACUAGACACCCUUCUUGAUGCCAUGCUCACUUCCCCUUUCACCAGGCAAUAGGUGAUUUUAAUAUAAAUAUAAUAUGUGGUUGUUUUUUUACCUCGGCUUUGAAAUUUGAUAUACAAAAGAGUAUAUAUAUUUAACACAGUUGCUAUCAGGAUGUAAAUUCAAGAGCAUUUUCC